CAUGGGUAGAGGAGCCUGGUAGGCUCUAGUCCAUAGGGUCACACAGAGUCAGACAUAACCGAUGCAACUUAGCAUGCAUGCAUGCCAGAACUGUCGAACUCCUUAGAAUUCAUACUCCUUUGGGGAAUCAAAGUCUGGCAACAGUGUGAGUUCCCACCGACCCUCCAAUGAAAAUCAGCUGAUUCUCCUAUGGGUCUACCUUCUUCAGGGCCAGCCUGUGUCCUCCACGUCCAUCCAAGUCUUAAACCUGACCACCUUUGCAUCUCAUCUGGCCCAGGUGGGCUUUCUAGCCCAAGGUUGUUGAUGCUCAUGUGUCCUCACCAGAAUGCCAAAGACCAGUUAACCAGGCAGCCUCUUCCCUUUUCUUCAGCCCAGCCUCCUCCUCCCUCAUCCUUCAGAUAAAGUUCAUUUGGUUCCAAGCACCAGAGAGAGAGACAAGGCAGAGAGUGCUGGUAGAAGGCAGUGUGUGUAGUAAUCACACAAACAAACAUAUGCUUGCAAAAUCUCCACAGACGGGAAUUCUCCAACCUCUUUCUCUAAUCCAGUCCUAAUGUUCAGCAAUCUUCACUGUCAGGAAAUUCUGGCAUGAACAACCCAAAUCCUUCACGCAGCUUAAACCCAUUUCCUCUGACUCUCUGCUCACUGGAGAUGGGGAACAGCUGGUUACCGUUCUCUGUACCAAGUUCUUUGUCAACGAGAUGACUGGAUUCUGGCUCUGGACCACUGUCACAAUUAGGAUUCUGACCAGUUUCACUUUGUGCAGUCUGCAAAAGCACGUCAAAUGGGAAGAUACACUUCUGAGGAGGCUGUGCUUUAGAAAUGCGCCACUGGGGGAACAUGAUCCCUAGCCACACCACCAGGCUGCUCACAGUUUACAAACGUGUGAAUGUGAGGUUUCGGCAUGGAAAAAAAAUAAUACAUUUUUCUGAGACUAGCUCUGCAAAUGUGAACACAUCAAAGGAGACAAAGACUCCAUAAAAGACACUAAGAGAACCAAUACACAGAGUGAGCAUUUAUUAUGGGCUUUCUGUGCUCCUAUUACCUGUAUUACCUCAGAGACUGCACAUCUAGGCACUAAGGCAGAAAUUAGGAUUAGUCCUGCUUUCCAGGGGAGGACACUUGGCCACACAGAGGCUAACUUGUCAAGUUUAUACACCAGUGAGUGAGAGAAUAAGCACUGAAACCCAAGCCAUUGGAGUCUAGAGCCUACAACCCCUCAACCGUCUCUCCAUCCUGCCUGCAAACCCGUGCUGGCCCAGACAGCUCAUAGAAUGGAACACAGCCCCUGUGUUUCAAUGACUAUUGGGCAGUGAAGACCAGGAAGUCAUGGCAAAAACCCGGUGGCUGGUCCCUGAUAUAGCAGACUGGCAAAAUUCAAAGGAGCUUGAUGCCAUCGAGGUUGCCUUCUUCUUAUAUGCGGAGUCCGACAUGAGAUGCUUGGUCUCCACUUAAAGGCAGCCGUUAAGUGGUUCCCCAGGUCCCAGCUGGAAGACUUCCCAACUAUAUGCUCUGGGGCUUGACCUGAAUCAGAGGCCAGGUUCUGCCAAUUACCGCCUGGCUGCUCUGGAUCCCAGCCUGCCUGCCUCAGUGUCCCUGGCAGAAAAGUGGUGAUGAUGAAGCUGCUUCCUGGUGACACAUCUCUCAUCACUCUCCAUCCCCUGGUUGAGCUCUUUGACCUCGAUACCACAGUUCUUUGAUGCCCAGAGAAUACCUCCUGAAUGACCCAGUAACUCAAUUUUUCAGCAUAGCAUCCAAGACAUCAUGAAUUGCUUACUGGGAACUACUCAUCCCCCUUUGGCUUAUUAGCAAAAUCAAACUCAGACUGGACUUUGGGCAAUGGGGCAAGUCAACCUGGACGAUUCUUUUUCCCUUACCAGUCUCAUUUGCCAAAGACUUGGAUGUAACUAAGAGACUGAGCAACAAGAAAUUUUCAGCCUAGCAUUGAGUGGUUGAGAAUCUGUCUGCCAAUGCAGAGGACACAGGUUAUAUCCCUGAUCAGGGAAGGUUCCACAUGCUACAGGGCAACUAAGCUUGUGUACCACAACUACUGAACUCAUGUGCCACAAUUAUCACCGAAGCCUACACUUUAGAGUCUGUCCUCUGCAGCAAGAGAAGCCACUUGCAAGAAGAAGCCCACACAUGGCAACCAGAGAGUAGCCUCUGCUUGCUGCAACUAUUGGAAGCCCUUGCAUAGCAAUGAAGAUCCAGUGCGGCCUAAAUAAAUAUUAAUAAAUAACAUUUUUAAAAAAAGAACAGAUUGAAGAGCCAACUAGCCAACUUCCACUCUUCCCCUCUGCUUUUGUCAGUCUGGUUUCCUAAGUGUCCCUUUCUCAUGGCACACUCAUCCCACCACCUGUAUUUCACUCUGUGGUGCCCUCUUUCUGGAAUGUUCUCUCCAUCUCCUCCAACAUUACAAAUUCUCCUCAUUCUUCAAAACCCAUCCUAUCCUUUCUCUCAAGCCUCGUCCAGGGACAAAGCUCCCGGGCUUGUGUAUGAAUGAGCCAGGUGGUGGGUCCACCUAAGCCUAGUAUUGGGAGGACUUAAAGAGGGCAAUGU
Bubalus bubalis (water buffalo) is the source of this 2556-nucleotide long non-coding RNA. RefSeq lists it as uncharacterized. The transcript has 2 exons. Lineage: Eukaryota; Metazoa; Chordata; Mammalia; Artiodactyla; Bovidae. The record is from RefSeq and is a predicted model, not a curated record.